This is a non-coding RNA of Ameiurus melas (black bullhead), 73 nucleotides long. The record is from the annotation of a GenBank genome assembly. Lineage: Eukaryota; Metazoa; Chordata; Actinopteri; Siluriformes; Ictaluridae.
GGCAUGGUAGCUUAGUGGUUAGCGCGUUUGCCUCACAUCUCCAGGGUUGAGGGUUCGGUUCCCACCUUUGCCC